This 577-nucleotide long non-coding RNA is filed under the name Calidris pugnax (ruff). RNAcentral's name for it is "lncRNA (ENSCPUG00000014836.1)". Lineage: Eukaryota; Metazoa; Chordata; Aves; Charadriiformes; Scolopacidae. The record is from RNAcentral.
GUACAUUUAAUCUCUGAUCUUAAAACUAUUUUUGUGCCAGUCCUUUUCUCUUAAGAUGUUAACUCUUUCUCUUAAAUAUUUACAUUCUAGGAACCUAUGCUGAAGGAAAAGGCAUUUAUUUCAAACCCAAAGACAGAUCCUAAAGACAAUGGAGAUAUUAAUCCAUGCGCCAGCAAGUUCACAGUGAAAGGCUUGGGGAUGCUUUCUACUUGGUGUAACUUAUGCCUGGUUCAGGCAGAAAAUACUCUUCAAGGAACUGGUGAUGCUACAUCAUCCUUAAAACACCAAGAGAAAGAAUCUUUGAGAGUGGAGAAAGCAUACAAGGAGCAGAGAAGUCAUGAAAUGCUGAGAGAAGAGCAGGACGUCUGCAGUCCAUUUCAGGAUGAAAAAAGGAAGAAAGACCUUUUUUCGGAUGAUGAAGAUGAGAAAAUAAGAUCAGCAGUGACUUCAGAUGAAGCUACAUUAGUGAAAACAGAGUUAAGAAAAGAAAGCUCAUCAGAAGAACACAGGUACUAUGUCUGUCAAGGCCAGGACCUUCGGUCCUACUUUCUGAUUCUCUCAUUGAUGUGUCAAACCU